Molecule: ribosomal RNA, 344 nt
Filed under: uncultured soil bacterium
Lineage: Bacteria
Description: bacterial SSU rRNA
Rfam family: Bacterial small subunit ribosomal RNA
Source: RNAcentral
AGGACGAACGCUGGCGACGUGCUUAACACAUGCAAGUCGAGCGGAAAGGCCACUUCGGUGGUACUCGAGCGGCGAACGGGUGAGUAACACGUGAGUAAUCUGCCCUCCACUUUGGGAUAGCCACCGGAAACGGUGAUUAAUACCGGAUAUGACCUUUGCCCGCAUGGGUGUUGGUGGUAAAGUUUUUCGGUGGGGAUGUGCUCGCGGCCUAUCAGCUUGAGUGGUGGGGUAAUGGCCUACCAGUGGCUUCGACGGGUAGCCGGCCUGAGAGGGUCGACCGGCCACGACGUGGGACUGACGACCACGGCCCAGGCCUCCGUACGGGACGGCAGUCAGGUGGGAAU